AUUGAACGCUGGCGGCAGGCCUAACACAUGCAAGUCGAACGGUAACAGGAAACAGCUUGCUGUUUCGCUGACGAGUGGCGGACGGGUGAGUAAUGUCUGGGAAACUGCCUGAUGGAGGGGGAUAACUACUGGAAACGGUAGCUAAUACCGCAUAACGUCGCAAGACCAAAGAGGGGGACCUUCGGGCCUCUUGCCAUCAGAUGUGCCCAGAUGGGAUUAGCUAGUAGGUGGGGUAACGGCUCACCUAGGCGACGAUCCCUAGCUGGUCUGAGAGGAUGACCAGCCACACUGGAACUGAGACACGGUCCAGACUCCUACGGGAGGCAGCCGUGGGGAAUAUUGCACCAUGGGGCGAAGCCUGAUGCAGCCAUGGCGCGUGUAUUAAGAAGGCCUUCGGGUUGGAAAGUACUUUCAGCGGGGAGGAAGGGAGUAAAGUUAAUACCUUGGCUCAUUGACGUUACCCGCAGAAGAAGCCCCGGCUAACUCCGUG
This 490-nucleotide ribosomal RNA is filed under the name uncultured bacterium. RNAcentral describes it as "partial 16S ribosomal RNA". It matches the Rfam family "Bacterial small subunit ribosomal RNA", at positions 30 to 507 of the family's 1533-position model. The record is from RNAcentral.